RNAcentral lists this ribosomal RNA (468 nucleotides) under uncultured bacterium. Its description in RNAcentral is "partial 16S ribosomal RNA". It matches the Rfam family "Bacterial small subunit ribosomal RNA", at positions 28 to 507 of the family's 1533-position model. The record is from RNAcentral.
GACGAACGCUGGCGGCGUGCUUAACACAUGCAAGUCGAACGGAAAGGCCCUGCUUUUGUGGGGUGCUCGAGUGGCGAACGGGUGAGUAACACGUGAGUAACCUGCCCUUGACUUUGGGAUAACUUCAGGAAACUGGGGCUAAUACCGGAUAGGAGCUCCUGCUGCAUGGUGGGGGUUGGAAAGUUUCGGCGGUUGGGGAUGGACUGGCGGCUUAUCAGCUUGUUGGUGGGGUAGUGGCUUACCAAGGCUUUGACGGGUAGCCGGCCUGAGAGGGUGACCGGCCACAAUGGGACUGAGAUACGGCCCAGACUCCUACGGGAGGCAGCAGUGGGGAAUAUUGCACAAUGGGCGCAAGCCUGAUGCAGCAACGCCGCGUGCGGGAUGACGGCCUUCGGGUUGUAAACCGCUUUCGCCUGUGACGAAGCGUGAGUGACGGUAAUGGGUAAAGAAGCACCGGCUAACUACGUG